This 97-nucleotide microRNA precursor is filed under the name Sus scrofa (pig). Its description in RNAcentral is "mir-544 microRNA precursor family". It matches the Rfam family "mir-544 microRNA precursor family". The record is from Rfam by way of RNAcentral. Lineage: Eukaryota; Metazoa; Chordata; Mammalia; Artiodactyla; Suidae.
AUCACCUGCGGAUCUUGUUAAAAUGCAGAUCCUGAUUCAGCAGGUCUGGGUGAGGCCUGAGAUUCUGCUUUUCCAACAAACUCCCAAGUGAUGCUGA